UCGUUUUAAAUGAAGAUUUUAGACUUUUAAACUCAUUUUGAAUAUGAAUUAUGUGUUUUGUACUUGUAUAUUACGUUUUAGCCAGUUUCGAAAUUUUUGAGAAAAAAAUGACCAAAAUACCCCUGUGUGGCGAAAAUUUUAUUUUGAUUGUUUUUGAUCUAAAAUAGUGUAUAUUCUCUAAAAACUAGAUAUUUAACAACGAUUGCUCACAGGAAAGGAAAGAAACUGAUAUGUAAGCCUUGCGGGGUUCCGGUUGGCAUUCCGGAUAAUGAGUGUCAAUCAGGGACGUUGCGGCGAUUGUCAUGGGCCUGAGGGAGGUUCCGGGUCGUGACACCCCCUCUCUUAGGCUGGUCCACAAAACCUCCACUAUAGGGAUUAUGGAUUAUUUUAUCUACCACCUGAUUUAUAGAAUCUUUAUCUAAAUGACACGGUAAUUUAUCGCAACCUAGCCUCUCAAGGCUGAAUACACAGUACAAAUAAUUCUAACACUGAAAAUCAGUUUAGCCAUUCGUGCUCAUAUAUUGUCAUAAGCCAUUCAAUUUAAAACCAUAAAAUUACAACACAUCAAGUGGUCUCCAAUUACUCUAUUUUCAAAACCAUAAUUCAAUUUCAAGACAAUUUAUAAAACCAUUUUAUUUAAUCUCAUUUUGCUUAUAAAACAUAAAGAUUUACCAUUUAAACUCAUUUUCCAUAAAAUCACAAAAUCGGAUAAAACCACUUUAGAUAAUUAAGACGAUAGUAAGGUUACUCACAGUAUCAGGAGUAGAAAUACUCGUAGUCCCGAUCUUU
Molecule: long non-coding RNA, 789 nt
Filed under: Theobroma cacao (cacao)
Lineage: Eukaryota; Viridiplantae; Streptophyta; Magnoliopsida; Malvales; Malvaceae
Description: long non-coding RNA (TCAC_LNC000302)
Source: RNAcentral